AGUAGCGCGCUACCAACAGCCCCCACUGUACUGAGAAUACCUCAGGAUCCAGGUCUUUUGCCACAACACCCCAGGCAACAUAAAGCUGUCGAGGUAAUUUGCCAAUUCGCCAUGGGCUUUGAGAGGUCUGGAGCUCCUAUUCCGGCACCGGAACAAACACCAUAACCAGCGUAUAGAUCGCCAAUAAAACGAGUGCAAGU
This 200-nucleotide ribosomal RNA is filed under the name uncultured eukaryote. RNAcentral describes it as "partial 18S ribosomal RNA". The record is from RNAcentral.